AUGGGGAUCGAACCCUGCAACUCGGAAUCAGUUCCAUUGAAGUGUGUGGCCAGUGAGGAACCCUCCAUGUCCACAUGGCUGUCAGUCAACCUUGGCCUACAGCAGAAAAUCCACUUGGUGUGCUCUUACCUAAAUCUUGGAACAUGGGGCGCAUGGGUGGCUCGGUGGAUUAAGCCUCUGCCUUCGGCUCAGGUCUUGAUCCCGGAGUCCUGGGAUCGAGUCUCACAUCGGGCUCUCUGCUCAGUGGGGAGACUGCUUCCUCCUCUCUCUUUGUCUCCCUCUCUGCCUACUUGUGAUCUUGAUACUCUGAUCAAGUAAAUCAAUAAAAUCUUAAAAUAAAAUAAAAUAAAUCUUGGAACGAAAACCACAACCUGCCAAGACCGGGGACUCCCAGCAGUGUUUUCCAGACUUCGAGUAGUGGCCUGGGAAACUCCCUUCAGCUGGUCAUGAACUAGGACGCAAGGAGCAAAGGUAACAUUGCUGGACGGAAACCCUCCUGUCAAUAACGUGAGACUCCGUUCUCUCCCUCAUUCCUGCCGUAAGUACUCAUUGAGUGUCCACCGUGAACUAGGAGAUUCAGAAGAAAGUAAAACACACAAGUGUGUGUGCCUGUGUCCUUCACGGAGGGUUACUGUGUGUGUCAGAAAGUUACCACCAGAACACACAGGCCCCUCAUUCCUUUUUCAGCACGAAGGCUUUGUUGAAGAGGAGAAACUCUGCCCUUGGCCAGCAGCCGUUGGGCAAGGGUCAGAAGGUUCAUGUUGCCAGGGCCACGGAAGGGGCUUGGUGAGGUCGGAUCCCUAGGCCCAGGGAGGGCUGCCUCCUGCCUCCUCCCCGCAAGCUCCGGGCACUUGAGGAGCUUUAUUCCCGGGAGAGCGAGGUGACCCCGCCCAGAGUUGGGGAGCCUGGCUGCAGAUCCCUCAUGUUGGGCAAGAGCAGAGAACCGGCCCCUUGGAUCCUUGCUGGGGACAUCUGGAGACACCAGCAAUAAUGGGAAAUCCGGGCACAGAGAGGGAGAGCGGGGGAGGGGCAGGGGGACAGGUGACCUGCACCCCAGCCCCUCCUGGCCUGGACCCCUCCGAACUGUGUGGUGAGGAGCGAGGUGGCCGUGGGGGUGGGCGGGGCAGGCCAGGAGACCCCUUUCUCUGGGAAGAACAGAGACCGUCGUGUCCCCCGCCCCCGCCAUGCUUUGCCCGAGUUCCAACCCUGUUUCCACUUCUGUUUACUGUCCAAAGUCCUGGGGGCAGGAAACGCCAGGUUAGAACCACUCGGACGCCAGGACACACGGGCUCAGGGACCUCACGGGGACGGCCCCUCCUGGUGCCACCUGCUCCACUUCUCGCCCUAGCCCCUCCUCGCCCUGGGGCCCAGGCCACCCGAGGGACCCAGGAGUCAGUCCUCCGCACCUCUUACAGCCCAGGUGGUGGCCUCGGCCUGCUCACCUCCAGCCCCAUCAUCGGCCUCUCCCUGAAGCAGCCUUUUAGCACAGGCCUCAGCUCCGAGCUCAGCCCCUGCAACUAGAGCCUCAGUCCGAACCAGCUCCAGCCCUGGGCCCGGCAUGGCCAUCCGGCAGCCGGACACCGAGGACAAUGACCAGCAGCUGCCUGGAGGGGAGGGCCCGGGCCCGCGUGCGCACAACCCCAGGAGAGGAGACCAGUUCUACGUAGGGAGGCCUCGGAGCCCUGCCCUUCUGCAGCGCGUCUGCUCCACGUUCCGACUCAGUCUGCUCGUCCUCGGGUUCAACAUCCUGCUGCUGGUGGCCAUCUGCGUGAUUGGGUCCCAAAGAACACAGCUGCAAGAGGAGCUGCGGGUCCUAAAAGAAAACUUCACCCACUUCUCCAACGGGGUCCUGUCGGAGAUCAGCACCCUUCUCUUCCACGGGGGCAGUGCCGGUCAGCAGCUGACCUCUCUGGAGGCCAAGCUGGAGAAGCAGCAGAAGGAUCUGAAAGCAGAUCACGCUGCCCUGCUGCUGCACGUGAAGCACUUCCCGGUGGACCUCCGCAUCCUCACCUGUCAGAUGGCCUUCCUGCGCAGCAACGGCACACAGUGCUGCCCCGUCAACUGGCUGGAGUACGAGGGCAGCUGCUACUGGUUCUCCCACUCCGGGAAGACGUGGGCCGAUGCGGAACGGUACUGCCGGCUGGAGAGCGCGCACCUGGUGGUCAUCAACUCCCGGGAGGAGCAGAAGUUCAUUAUGCAACACACGAACCCCUUCGAUGCCUGGAUAGGUCUCACGGACAGCGACGGCUCCUGGAAAUGGGUGGACGGCACCGACUAUGAGCAGAGCUACAAGAACUGGGCGGCCACUCAGCCCGAUGACUGGCAGGGGCACGAGGUGGGUGGAGGCGAAGACUGCGCGGAACUCCGGACCAACGGCCGCUGGAACGACAACUUCUGCAAGCAGCCAUUGUGUCGGUACUAACUGAGAUAAGACAGAAGGAACUUCUUGAACAUCACGUCGGCGAAAAUGUACAGUGCAAACAGGCAAAUAGGAGCCUGUCCGCUUCAACAUUACUUACAAAAGCCAGGGACGCCGCGUCCCCAAAAUGCACGGCGGUUUGGCACCUGUACGCUCCGGAGCCCCAUUAAACAGAUGGCCAUGAGCCGUGGCGUGGGAAAACCCUCGAGACCCAUUUUUAGGCAGACGCAUGCCGUGGAGAAAAAUUUCGGUAAAAGGAAAACAGCGACCUGCCCCAUCAGUGGGCAUAGCCCGACCGGUGUACAAAUAUGCAGAGAAAUUGGUCUGAAAAGACCACUCAUCACAUCUCUGGGUCUGGGGGCUGGAAAUGGGGUAAGUGUAUUGGUUUACUUACCUUUCCCUGACCUCUCCUGCCUGGGCCGCGGGGGGUGGGGGAGCGGUGAGACCCCUUCAGUCUGUGGCCAGUAUGGUUCCGUCUUCCCCACCUCCCAGCCAAGGGACUGGGGAGGGUGGCAUCUCCUCUCACCGAUGCCCGACAGUCCACUGUUGGAGUGUUUGCCCUCCAUCUGUGCCAUGGGAUCAUUGGACUUUAGGAGUCCUAGUGCCCAAGGAAAGGACCCCCCCACCCCCCGCAACCAGGGAAAGCAGCCUUGGUCCUGUGGCAAUUUGAAGAUGCCUCUUGAUUCCUGCCUGAUUUGGGCUCCUCAAAACCACCAGUAGGUAGGGGGUGGAGGUAAGUGAGCCUUGGAGGGGACUGAUGGAUGCUGGCUAAGGAGGGACAUGGUUGUGCUGCUUGGCAAUGGGGAGGGGAGAGGACGGAGCCUGCGGCCCGGGAGGCUGUCUGGGGAGCUGCAGAGCUCCCCGGCGUGAUCAUGAAAUGGUGGGUGGCAAAUCGCAGUCCCUGCACCAGGUAAAAGGAUCCUGCCCAGCUGAGGGGCUGGGAGAGGGCUAAGGCUCCACAGGGAAGCCGUACUCGUCCACCAAGAAAGAAGUCUCAGAGGCAAAAGCACUUAGGAGAGCAAAGAAGGUUAUUGGCAAAGUAGCCGUAAGGCAAUCAGCCUUUGGGAG
Mustela lutreola (European mink) is the source of this 3487-nucleotide RNA transcript. It is a transcript of the gene named asialoglycoprotein receptor 2-like, with no coding region annotated. The record is from RefSeq and is a predicted model, not a curated record. NCBI's taxonomy places the organism in Eukaryota, Metazoa, Chordata, Mammalia, Carnivora, Mustelidae. The transcript has 11 exons.